This 729-nucleotide long non-coding RNA is filed under the name Heterocephalus glaber (naked mole-rat). RNAcentral's name for it is "lncRNA (ENSHGLG00000043474.1)". Lineage: Eukaryota; Metazoa; Chordata; Mammalia; Rodentia; Bathyergidae. The record is from RNAcentral.
UGCACUGCCUGCUGGGAGGCUGGUGCUGCCUGGUGUCUCCAUGGCGACGCUGACAUCACGGGGCCGGCUGCAGUAGGGCCCCAGGGGAGGCUCCCAGUGUUCUGGGGAGGAGGCCGGGUGGGUGGGCCUGCCUGCCCUGGGUCUGGGGGGGUCCUGACCCUGCCUGUCCCCACCUUGCCCAGGGCCCGUCUGAGACGCUGUCUCCUGACCCAUAACAGAGAGGGCAGUCUUCACCCGGGACUGACUGUGAUCAUGGAUAAGAUACAGGGAGGGCUGUCGUGAAGACCAUUCUGGUGACUUCCAGGGAAAGGCAGGGGCGGCCUGCACCCCUGGACUGCCUGGGCCUGUGAUACAAAAUCUCACUACGUAGCCCAGGCUGGCCUGGAACUCUCAGUGAUUCUCCCACCUCAGCCUCCUGAAUGCUAAGAUGACAGAUUUCUGUUGGACAUGGGCUCUGCGUAGAUCUGCACUGGACAGCCAAAGUUGAAGCAGAGGUGGAGGGGGCGGGAAGCUCCCAGUCCCUCUGAAAUCUGGCCUCGGGCGAUAACUGCAUUGCACAAAACACUUCCCCACCUCUGCCUCCUAACUGAGAAAAAGUGGUCAACAGUGAAAGACUCCAGAAACCCACAGAUUUCGAAGUACGAGCGCCCGCGCUGAGAGUUCGCUGUUUUAAUCAAAUAAAACCCACAACAAAGUUAAUCUGACACAUAGUUAAUGAGAUAAUCAUUG